GAGGGUAUAGCUCAGUGGUAGAGCACAUGGUUAGCAUGCACGAGCUCCCGGGCUCAACCCCCAGUGCCUCCA
This 72-nucleotide transfer RNA is filed under the name Camelus bactrianus (Bactrian camel). It matches the Rfam family "tRNA". Rfam says of the family: Transfer RNA (tRNA) molecules are approximately 80 nucleotides in length. Their secondary structure includes four short double-helical elements and three loops (D, anti-codon, and T loops). Further hydrogen bonds mediate the characteristic L-shaped molecular structure. tRNAs have two regions of fundamental functional importance: the anti-codon, which is responsible for specific mRNA codon recognition, and the 3' end, to which the tRNAs corresponding amino acid is attached (by aminoacyl-tRNA synthetases). tRNAs cope with the degeneracy of the genetic code in two manners: having more than one tRNA (with a specific anti-codon) for a particular amino acid; and 'wobble' base-pairing, i.e. permitting non-standard base-pairing at the 3rd anti-codon position. The record is from Rfam by way of RNAcentral. Lineage: Eukaryota; Metazoa; Chordata; Mammalia; Artiodactyla; Camelidae. RNAcentral also lists the same sequence under 2 other names.